GGAUUCCUACGGGGCGCAGCAGUGGGGAAUAUUGCACAAUGGGGGAAACCCUGAUGCAGCGACGCCGCGUGAGUGAAGAAGUAUCUCGGUACGUAAAGCUCUAUCAGCAGGGAAGAAAAUGACGGUACCUGAGUAAGAAGCCCCGGCUAACUACGUGCCAGCAGCCGCGGUAAUACGUAGGGGGCAAGCGUUAUCCGGAUUUACUGGGUGUAAAGGGAGCGUAGACGGCGAAGAAAGUCUGAAGUGAAAGCCCGCGGCUCAACCGCGGAACUGCUUUGGAAACUUUUUUGCUGGAGUACCGGAGG
RNAcentral lists this ribosomal RNA (305 nucleotides) under uncultured bacterium. Its description in RNAcentral is "bacterial SSU rRNA". It matches the Rfam family "Bacterial small subunit ribosomal RNA", at positions 333 to 655 of the family's 1533-position model. The record is from RNAcentral.